AUUGAACGCUGGCGGCAGGCCUAACACAUGCAAGUCGAGCGAGCGGAGGACGGGUGAGUAAUGUCUGGGAAACUGCCUGAUGGAGGGGGAUAACUACUGGAAACGGUAGCUAAUAACGCAUACCAUCAGAUGUGCCCAGAUGGGAUUAGCUAGUAGGUGGGGUAACGGCUCACCUAGGCGACGAUCUCUAGCUGGUCUGAGAGUAUGACCAGCCCCACUGGAAGUGAGACACUGUCCAGAAUCCUACGGGAGGCAGCAGAGAGGAAUAUUGCACAAUGGGCGCAAGUCUGAUGCAGCCAUGCCGCGAGUGUGAAGAAGGCCUUCGGGUUGUAAAGCACUUUCAGCGGGGAGGCGUUACCCGCAGAAGAAGCACCGGCUAACUCCGUGACAGCAGCCGCGGUAAUAC
This 406-nucleotide ribosomal RNA is filed under the name uncultured bacterium. RNAcentral's name for it is "partial 16S ribosomal RNA". It matches the Rfam family "Bacterial small subunit ribosomal RNA", at positions 30 to 526 of the family's 1533-position model. The record is from RNAcentral.